UCAGUACGUAAGGCGGAUUUAGGGGAAUCCCCAGGACCCCGGGCUGUCGAUUCACUAGACGUGUCGAUCGUUUCUUGGAUGCGAUGUUAAGGUCAGGGCGACCCUUGAAACUGGUUUUAUAUUGCGCAGUGAGUAUAAAGAACGUCGAGACACAAAUACAUUGAUCGCACGUCCUAACGGGACAUCUAACAAUUGACUGAAUCGGGAUAUAUUUAAAAGGACCUGAUCGAGCAUUAGGUAUAUUUCUCUUCAGCGGAGAAGGCGAUAUAGUUCCGCGAACCGUCCGUGUGACCUAGUGAGGUUUAGAAGCAGCUGAUAAGCCAUUGGCCGGGUUGAACCUUACUAUUGUUGAUGGAAGUGUAUAACGACUAAGCAUAUGUGAACGGCACUGUGAAUGGCAGCCUUGUCGCCCGCUCUUACAACUGCACCGACUCCAUUAUUCACGCAUGAAUGGCGUCUCGGGCUGAGAGAAAAAAGCCACUGGCGAUAGGCAAAGCAGGUUCAGGACAAAAAACAAAUCAAACAGAACACGGGGCGGGACGAGGAAGGGAGAUAACCGUUGACGGGAUUAAAUCUGGACCCGGCGGUGAACCAACUAAGGGAGCUACCACAGUGACAAACAGAGGUCCUGCUACAGAUACCCUCAGAACUGAGGGAUCACAGUCAGACGCUAAGUCGGAUUCGACAUUGUCUAACAAAGAUACCACAGUGACAAACAGAGGUCCUGCUACAGAUACCCUCAGAACUGAGGGAUUACAGUCAGACGCUAAGUCGGAUUCGACAUUGUCUAACAAAGAUACCACAGUGACAAACAGAGGUCCCGCUACAGAUACGCUCAGAACUGAGGGAUCACAGUCAGACGCUAAGUCGGAUUCGACAUUGUCUAACAAAGAUACCACAGUGACAAACAGAGGUCCUGCUACAGAUACCCUCAGAACUGAAGGAUCACAGUCAGACGCUAAGUCGGAUUCGACAUUGUCUAACAAAGAUACCACAGUGACAAACAGAGGUCCUGCUACAGAUACCCUCAGAACUGAGGGAUCACAGUCAGACGCUAAGUCGGAUUCGACAUUGUCUAACAAAGAUACCACAGUGACAAACAGAAGUCCUGCUGCAGAUACCCUCAGAACUGAGGGAUCACAAUCAGACGCUAAGUCGGAUUCGACAUUGUCUAACAAAGAUACCAAAGUGACAAACAGAGGUCCUGCUACAGAUACCCUCAGAACUGAGGGAUUACAGUCAGACGCUAAGUCGGAUUCGACAUUGUCUAACAAAGAUACCACAGUGACAAACAGAGGUCCUGCUACAGAUACCCUCAGAACUGAGGGAUCACAGUCAGACGCUAAGUCGGAUUCGACAUUGUCUAACAAAGAUACCACAGUGACAAACAGAAGUCCUGCUGCAGAUACCCUCAGAACUGAGGGAUCACAGUCAGACGCUAAGUCGGAUUCGACAUUGUCUAACAAAGAUACCACAGUGACAAACAGAAGUCCUGCUGCAGAUACCCUCAGAACUGAGGGAUCACAGUCAGACGCUAAGUCGGAUUCGACAUUGUCUAACAAAGAUACCACAGUGACAAACAGAAGUCCUGCUGCAGAUACCCUCAGAACUGAGGGAUCACAGUCAGACGCUAAGUCGGAUUCGACAUUGUCUAACAAAGAUACCACAGUGACAAACAGAAGUCCUGCUGCAGAUACGCUCAGAACUGAGGGAUCACAGUCAGACGCUAAGUCGGAUUCGACAUUGUCUAACAAAGAUACCACAGUGACAAACAGAGGUCCUGCUACAGAUACCCUCAGAACUGAGGGAUCACAGUCAGACGCUAAGUCGGAUUCGACAUUGUCUAACAAAGAUACCACAGUGACAAACAGAGGUCCUGCUACAGAUACCCUCAGAACUGAGGGAUCACAGUCAGACGCUAAGUCGGAUUCGACAUUGUCUAACAAAGAUACCACAGUGACAAACAGAAGUCCUGCUGCAGAUACCCUCAGAACUGAGGGAUCACAGUCAGACGCUAAGUCGGAUUCGACAUUGUCUAACAAAGAUACCACAGUGACAAACAGAGGUCCUGCUACAGAUACCCUCAGAACUGAGGGAUCACAGUCAGACGCUAAGUCGGAUUCGACAUUGUCUAACAAAGAUACCACAGUGACAAACAGAAGUCCUGCUGCAGAUACCCUCAGAACUGAGGGAUCACAAUCAGACGCUAAGUCGGAUUCGACAUUGUCUAACAAAGAUACCAAAGUGACAAACAGAGGUCCUGCUACAGAUACCCUCAGAACUGAGGGAUUACAGUCAGACGCUAAGUCGGAUUCGACAUUGUCUAACAAAGAUACCACAGUGACAAACAGAGGUCCUGCUACAGAUACCCUCAGAACUGAGGGAUCACAGUCAGACGCUAAGUCGGAUUCGACAUUGUCUAACAAAGAUACCACAGUGACAAACAGAAGUCCUGCUGCAGAUACCCUCAGAACUGAGGGAUCACAGUCAGACGCUAAGUCGGAUUCGACAUUGUCUAACAAAGAUACCACAGUGACAAACAGAAGUCCUGCUGCAGAUACCCUCAGAACUGAGGGAUCACAGUCAGACGCUAAGUCGGAUUCGACAUUGUCUAACAAAGAUACCACAGUGACAAACAGAAGUCCUGCUGCAGAUACCCUCAGAACUGAGGGAUCACAGUCAGACGCUAAGUCGGAUUCGACAUUGUCUAACAAAGAUACCACAGUGACAAACAGAAGUCCUGCUGCAGAUACGCUCAGAACUGAGGGAUCACAGUCAGACGCUAAGUCGGAUUCGACAUUGUCUAACAAAGAUACCACAGUGACAAACAGAAGUCCUGCUGCAGAUACCCUCAGAACUGAGGGAUCACAGUCAGACGCUAAGUCGGAUUCGACAUUGUCUAACAAAGAUACCACAGUGACAAACAGAAGUCCUGCUGCAGAUACCCCGAGGAGUGAGAAGCCACACACAGACCUCCAUCCGAAGAUUCCAGUCUUAUUCAUAUGUGCAAUGUCGAUAACCACGGGAUUCGCAGGCGGCAUACUGGGGACACUCGGCACCCUGUAUUUCGCCCCCGCCUUUGUCAACGUCUGGAACAGCAACAACUCCAUCCCGUCAGCGACUGUCGAAGUGGAUCCCGGGCUGCAUCGGAAGAUGAGCGCCAUGGGCACAGAUCUGGAACAGUGCUUGGCGCGAAACUUCGCAGACCAGGAAAGGAUUAAGUGGUUAGAGGCCAACAUCACGGUUAUACGUGACGACAUGUUUAGCAACUACUCCAACGUUGAGCUGAAAAGCUACAUCCUCGACGGUCGCUUGGAAGAACUCAGGAACAAGUUUUUGUCGAAGGAAUGGAUUUUCCUCAUCCUAUUGAUGGGGAUAUUUGAGGUCGCUGUGAUGGUUGCUGUGUGGAAGAUGUGGUCCAACUUCGGUGACAUCCUCGCCGCCAUGUUGGACCGCCGCGGGGGAGGGGCAAGGCGAGAGGCCCCUAAUGGGGGACCACUCCCUGAUAACGACAUCAUUCGGGGAGACGAGAAGACGUUGAACAGAGUGACACGCCGCCAUCUUGAGAACCGUAUGUGUGUGGUCGGCUUCCAUUCAGAGACCACCAACCAACACCACGCCAAAAUCCAGGCUGUCCUAUCUGAGAACAUUGCUGUCGAAAAUCACCACGUCAAAGGACACGAGCAAAUAUUAAACCUUCCACUUUGUAAAAUCUACUUUGUGUGUGUGGACUUUAAUGAACGACAUGUCAUCCUCGAGGACCCUACAAAGGGACUGGGGGAUCUCCGGCUUACAACGGUACAAGCUAUCCAGAAAAUGGGAGGAGAUGUCGUACUUAUAUACAGCAAAGAUGGCGGAUCCACGUCCCUUCCAUCCGGGGCAUUAUAUAACAGCAGCUUAACCUCGAUCAAGAAACACCCCGAUCUCCGUCGCCUAGACAACACCCAGCGCAUGCUCAGUGUGUUUGAGAAGUUCACCCCGUCACAGAUUGAUCAUAUUGUGAAGAUAGUGAAAGAACAUGGAAUGUAGCAGGUCUCUGUGUGGUCUCUGUGUGGUUCUCAAUGAAAACGGGUCUCAGAAAAGUCAACUCUUCACAACAAGCGGACCAGGAUCGGGAGAAAGCGAAACUAAGUCUUUUAGCAUUUAGGGGCCCAUCAUUUGAUAUUGGGAGUGGAGGGGCUGGAUUGUGGUCCCUUUCUUUUAGAUAUAACUAAAUGUAUGCCUUAAAGCUCUGACUGAAAUAACAACCCUUCAGUAUAUAAAAUGGUUGGUCACUUCGUAAUUUAUGAAAGUACACAGACUGUACUAAAAUACGGAUAAUUUACAUUCGAUUGAGCGGAUUAUCACCUGCCUGGUGUUUAGUUAGCCUCCAGAAAGUGUUAUGUAACUUAAAAGUGGACAUAAACGUAUUUAUUGGCUAUAACAUGUAGGUUUAAUUACCGCCUGCCAGGAGUACAGAAAGUGUUAUGUAGCUGGAAAGUGGACAUAAGCGAAGUCACUAUUUAUUUGCUAUUAAGUGUUUAGCUAUAACAUGUAGGUUUAAUUACCGCCUGCCAGGAGUACAGAAAGUGUUAUGUAGCUGGAAAGUGGACAUAAGCGAAGUCACUAUUUAUUUGCUGUUAAGUGUUUAGUUAUAACAUGUAGGUUUAAUUAUCACCUGCCUGCUGGAAGUGUUAUGUAACUUGAAAGUGGACAUAAUCGUAUUUAUUUGCUAUUAUGUGUUUAGAUAUAACGUGUUUAUUUUACCGCCUGUGUUUAGGCAAUUUGUGAUAAUGUAUUUCUCGGGCAGUGGAUCGCCCCAUCCUCGAUUAUCCGGAGUAUUAUAUCGGCCUUCUAUCACAAUAAAUACCCUGAAUCUGUUCACUACCAUAGCGUCCUUUAUAUCUCCAUUCUGAGCCAUUCAAACAUUACAAUGUAACACAUCAACGCCAGAGAAUAACCAGUCUCGAUUAUCCGGAGUAUUAUAUCGCCCUUCUAUCACAAUAAAUACCCUGAAUCUGUUCGCUA
This is an RNA transcript of Haliotis rufescens (red abalone), 5007 nucleotides long. It is a transcript of the gene named serine-aspartate repeat-containing protein F-like, with no coding region annotated. The record is from RefSeq and is a predicted model, not a curated record. The transcript has 6 exons. NCBI's taxonomy places the organism in Eukaryota, Metazoa, Mollusca, Gastropoda, Lepetellida, Haliotidae.